CCCAUCCGAUCUAAAGAGAACCGGGCAUUCGACUUUGUUGAGACGAAGUUCUCCUCCCGCUUCCGACACGGUUUGUUUUGACUGUCCUGUCGAUAUAGGCUUGUGCCAAGGGAGGAGACAUAUAGAUAUGCAACUUUUAUUUAAAAUAAAGUUAUCGGUAAUACAUUCAUAGGUUUUUCACGCUCCAUGGUCGCGGGAGGUCUGCUCCUCCGAGCUCCUUGAGGUAAUAAGUUCCGGGCCGAUCCUUGAUAAAAUCUGAUUUUAUAUCAUGCAUGUGAUAUUUAUGAUCUGAUUUAGAUAUAAUCUAAGAUUAUAAUAAGGACUGAUAUAAUUUAGAUUAGAUCUAAAUUCAUGCAUAUAUGAUAUGUGAUU
Molecule: long non-coding RNA, 372 nt
Filed under: Elaeis guineensis (African oil palm)
Lineage: Eukaryota; Viridiplantae; Streptophyta; Magnoliopsida; Arecales; Arecaceae
Description: long non-coding RNA (EGUI_LNC050118)
Source: RNAcentral